This 587-nucleotide ribosomal RNA is filed under the name uncultured bacterium. RNAcentral describes it as "partial 16S ribosomal RNA". It matches the Rfam family "Bacterial small subunit ribosomal RNA", at positions 355 to 1375 of the family's 1533-position model. The record is from RNAcentral.
UGGGGAAUUUUGGACAAUGGGCGAAAGCCUGAUCCAGCAAUGCCGCGUGUGUGAAGAAGGCCUUCGGGUUGUAAAGCACUUUUGUCCGGAAAGAAAUCCUUGGCUCUAAUACAGUCGGGGGAUGACGGUACCGGAAGAAUAAGCACCGGCUAACUACGUGCCAGCAGCCGCGGUAAUACGUAGGGUGCAAGCGUUAAUCGGAAUUACUGGGCGUAAAGCGUGCGCAGGCGGUUUGCUAAGACCGAUGUGAAAUCCCCGGGCUCAACCUGGGAACUGCAUUGGUGACUGGCAGGCUAGAGUAUGGCAGAGGGGGGUAGAAUUCCGCGUGUAGCAGUGAAAUGCGUAGAGAUGUGGAGGAAUACCGAUGGCGAAGGCAGCCCCCUGGGCCAAUACUGACGCUCAUGCACGAAAGCGUGGGGAGCAAAACAGGAUUAGAUACCCUGGUAGUCCGCGCCCUAAAACGAUGUCAACUAGUUGUUGGGGAUUCAUUUCCUUAGUAACGUAGCUAACGCGUGAAGUUGACCGCCUGGGGAGUACGGUCGCAAGAUUAAAACUUAAAUGAAUUGACGGGGUCAUAGCUGUUUCCU